AUUGAACGCUGGCGGCAUGCUUUACACAUGCAAGUCGAGCGGUAACAUGCCUUCGGGUGCUGACGAGUGGCGAACGGGUGAGUAAUGCAUCGGAACGUACCCAGAGGUGGGGGAUAACGCAGCGAAAGCUGUGCUAAUACCGCAUGUGAUCUGAGGAUGAAAGCGGGGGACCGAGCAGCAAUGUUUGGCCUCGCGCCUUUGGAGCGGCCGAUGUCGGAUUAGCUAGUUGGUGGGGUAAAGGCCUACCAAGGCGACGAUCCGUAGCUGGUCUGAGAGGACGACCAGCCACACUGGGACUGAGACACGGCCCAGACUCCUACGGGAGGCAGCAGUGGGGAAUUUUGGACAAUGGGCGAAAGCCUGAUCCAGCAAUGCCGCGUGCGGGAAGAAGGCCUUCGGGUUGUAAACCGAUUUUGGCAGGAACGAAACGGUGUCCGCUAAUACCGGGAGCUAAUGACGGUACCUGCAUAAUAAGCACCGGCUAACUACGUG
RNAcentral lists this ribosomal RNA (492 nucleotides) under uncultured bacterium. Its description in RNAcentral is "partial 16S ribosomal RNA". It matches the Rfam family "Bacterial small subunit ribosomal RNA", at positions 30 to 507 of the family's 1533-position model. The record is from RNAcentral.